Molecule: unclassified non-coding RNA, 651 nt
Filed under: Hevea brasiliensis (rubber tree)
Lineage: Eukaryota; Viridiplantae; Streptophyta; Magnoliopsida; Malpighiales; Euphorbiaceae
Source: RNAcentral
AAACUGGGCACAAAAAAUUUGUGGUUCUAGUCCAGAAUGAUGGAGAAAGCGAUCUGAAAGUGACUCUUUCUGCUCCAAAUCCCAUUGAUAAUACUCUCCUUGAAAUACCCAAACACCGAACUAGAAAGAUCAAUUUAGCUGUUGGUAACAGCAAUGAAGUGAUACUAGAAGCUGGAAAGGGGGAGUGUGUUCUACACACGGAUCUUCCUGCAUCUCAGGGAAACAUUUUCAUGCACCUUCCUUCUUACAACAAACUGAUCACUCCCAUUAAUGGUGCCUACUUCAUAAUUCUCACUGUGUUAAUUUUUGGAGGGGUAUGGGGUUGCUGCUUGUUUAGAAAGAGGAAACAACACGAUGGCAUACCUUAUCAAGAACUUGAGAUGGGUUUGCCAGAAUCUAGUUCAGCAAACAAUGUGGAAACGGCAGAAGGUUGGGAUGAGGGCUGGGAUGAUGACUGGGACGAGGAAAAUGCGGUGAAGUCACCAGCAGCACGUCAUUUGGGAAGUAUCUCAGCCAACGGCCUUAUUUCUAGGUCUCCAAAGAAGGAUGAAUGGGGAAAUGAUUGGGAUGAUUAGGACUUCUGCGGUGGAAAAAGAGAGACUUUUACCCAUGAGGGUACAGAGUGGAGAAACAAGAAAAAGAAUAGAUACA